Long non-coding RNA from Carya illinoinensis, 1347 nucleotides. RefSeq lists it as uncharacterized. The record is from RefSeq and is a predicted model, not a curated record. The transcript has 4 exons. NCBI's taxonomy places the organism in Eukaryota, Viridiplantae, Streptophyta, Magnoliopsida, Fagales, Juglandaceae.
UUUUGGUUUUCCUUGCUGUAGGACUAAUGGAGUUUAGGGCAAGAACGACCUUUCUAGCGCUGUGGAGAACCUGAAGGUGUCGGGAGGUAGGUGCAACCAUACUUCGCUGAAGACCAUCAAUUUUACCAUACUUCGCUUUGGUACCACCCAAUAUCCUCACGGCCGCAAGAGGCUUGGCUAUGAAAAUGAAGAUCACAACAACUACUAUCAACACUUUCCUGGCAGUGUUUUUGGAAAGGUUUCUCCUACGAGAAUACAUUGUCCAAUGAAGAAAUGAAAGGAAGAUUGCUAGAAAAUUGUACUUAAGAGCAAGUUGCACUUUACAAGCUUGAUUGAAAGGAUCAACUUGAUCUGGUAUUUAUAUAUACAGCUUAUUGAUGGAUAAUUUCCUGAUUAUAAUGAAUAUGUUGUGUGAAAAUUUCCUAUUGUGACUCUAUAUCUUCUUUCUAUUGUUUCGUGUGACCAGCAUAUAGGUAUAAGUACUUGUUACUUGUUUUUGUAGUCUGUUGCAUUGAAAUGUGACAAAAAUGAUGGAUUUUUUUUUUUGUGCUUCAAUAAGGUUUAAGGAUUUCAGAUUCUAAAGUUAAUAUCUUAACUUUAUUGGAUGUGGUUUGGGUGUCUAAUGGCAGAAAACUGUUAGGUGAGCUAUGUGUGUGUGUUAGGCUAACAUUUCAGGGGCACCCAGAUUACUUAUUUGUAUGCCAUGUUGCUCCUAUGCAAGAAGGGCACUGUAGGUCUGGAGAGGUAAGUUUUUUUUAUCAAAUCCAUUGCAAAGUCAAAUAUUCAUUGCACUUUUGCUCCUUAAAGUUCCAUUGUUAUAUAAUUGAUGUUUGAUUGUUUAUAAUUUUAAUGUCUUUGCCUGCCAAGAACUGCAACAGACAAAAUAAUGCAGAGUAGGCCAAAUGUAUGCAUGCUUCAUUGUCCACUUUACUGUAUGCAUGCUUCAUUGUCCACUCUGUAGCCCAGUACACUAAGGGAAAAUCAUCAUUAAAAUUUUGGAUAAAAAUUACAUUAUUCUAAUGAUUUCUUUAAGCCAUGACAAUAGGGGCAACCCCAAAGGCAAUACUGAAUUUGAUGGGCUCAUAUGGAUUGACCAUUUUUCAUGUGAAAAGUCAUCUGUAGGUUCAUGUACACUUCAAGCAUUUUUACUGAACUUAGCAAAUGGGUUUUCCAUGAAAGAGGGCAUCUCAAGGUAAUUUGGCUUCAUUUGUGUUGAUGUUUGAGCAUGGAAUGGAGUUGGAUAAUGCUAAGAUAUUUUGAAGUGUUGGGAUUAAGUGAUGGAGCAGUUUUGAGUUUGUAUGACAUGAUUUGGUAUUGGUUUCUAAAACUUGAAUGUAUUGGGAAUGG